UUGAGCGUGACGAGUGGCGGACGGGUGAGGAAUGCAUCGGAAUCUACUCUUUCGUGGGGGAUAACGUAGGGAAACUUACGCUAAUACCGCAUACGACCUACGGGUGAAAGCAGGGGACCUUCUAGGCCUUGCGCGAUUGAAUGAGCCGAUGUCCGAUUAGCUAGUUGGCGGGGUAAUGGCCCACCAAGGCGACGAUCGGUAGCUGGUCUGAGAGGAUGAUCAGCCACACUGGAACUGAGACACGGUCCAGACUCCUACGGGAGGCAGCAGUGGGGAAUAUUGGACAAUGGGCGCAAGCCUGAUCCAGCCAUACCGCGUGGGUGAAGAAGGCCUUCGGGUUGUAAAGCCCUUUUGUUGGGAAAGAAAAGCAGCCGGCUAAUACCCGGUUGUUCUGACGGUACCCAAAGAAUAAGCACCGGCUAACUUCGUGCCAGCAGCCGCGGUAAUACGAAGGGUGCAAGCGUUACUCGGAAUUACUGGGCGUAAAGCGUGCGUAGGUGGUUGUUUAAGUCUGUCGUGAAAGCCCUGGGCUCAACCUGGGAACUGCGAUGGAAACUGGGCGACUAGAGUGUGGUAGAGGGUAGCGGAAUUCCUGGUGUAGCAGUGAAAUGCGUAGAUAUCAGGAGGAACAUCCAUGGCGAAGGCAGCUACCUGGGCCAACACUGACACUGAGGCACGAAAGCGUGGGGAGCAAACAGGAUUAGAUACCCUGGUAGUCCACGCCCUAACGAUGCGAACUGGAUGUUGGGUGCACUUUGGCACGCAGUAUCGAAGCUAACGCGUUAAGUUCGCCGCCUGGGGAGUACGGUCGCAAGACUGAACUCAAGGAAAUUGACGGGGGACCGGCACCAGCGAUGCAGUAAUGUGGAUUUAAUUCGAUGCAAACGCGAAGAACCUUUAUCG
Molecule: ribosomal RNA, 903 nt
Filed under: Stenotrophomonas sp.
Lineage: Bacteria; Pseudomonadati; Pseudomonadota; Gammaproteobacteria; Lysobacterales; Lysobacteraceae
Description: bacterial SSU rRNA
Rfam family: Bacterial small subunit ribosomal RNA
Source: RNAcentral